Molecule: ribosomal RNA, 326 nt
Filed under: uncultured bacterium
Lineage: Bacteria
Description: bacterial SSU rRNA
Rfam family: Bacterial small subunit ribosomal RNA
Source: RNAcentral
AUUGAACGCUGGCGGCAUGCCUUACACAUGCAAGUCGAACGGCAGCGCGGGGCAACCUGGCGGCGAGUGGCGAACGGGUGAGUAACAUAUCGGAACAUACCCUAGAGUGGGGAUAACGUAGCGAAAGUUACGCUAAUACCGCAUACGCACUAAGGUGGAAAGUGGGGGAUUCGCAAGAACCUCAUGCUCAUGGAGUGGCCGAUAUCUGAUUAGCUAGUUGGUGAGGGUUAAAGGCUCACCAAGGCGACGAUCAGUAGCUGGUUUGAGAGAACGACCAGACCACACUGGAACUGAGACACGGUCCAGACUCCUACGGGAGGCAGGCA